UGGAACUUGAAGGCAGCAGAAUCUGCAAAUCGCUUGCCUGAGAUCUUAAAGAUCUGAUUUGCAUUACAUCAAAACACAUGCCAUUUGCAACGAGUGUGUCAGUGAUUGAGUGAGAUGCUCAGACUAAGUAUUACAAGAACCAAGAGGGGGGAAAGAAUACCAUGAACCUCACCAGGGUCUCUCCAGGCUGUGCGUAGCAGGAGCAAAGUCACGGAAGAGGCAAGACAGAAGUUUUAUUUACAGUGUGAGCAUUUUAACAUGUCCCAGAGGAUCAGUUUGUUGUUGCUGUCAUUAAGAGCUUCUUGAUUUUACAAUACGACUGUAAGCUGCUUGAGUGCGAUCACUUCACCUUCUAUUGCCCAUAGUGCCUAACCAGGCACCUAGGAAGUAUGCUGAUUUCAGGGUUUUCAACAUGACUUUGAAGCUACAUCACAGGAACCGUACAUCAGGCUGUCAGGAACGGCCACUGAGGAGUGAGCAACAGGACCCUGUUCCAGGAUUUUGAAAGUGUCCGCUGGUCACCUGUCUGGUGGGAAUGGGCGAGAACCAGCUAGAGAAUCUUGUGGUUGGUGACUUUCCUUGGAGGAUUUUCUCUGUGAUUUCCUGGAACCAUGGAAAAGUAGCUAACUUUAUUUAUGUGCCAAAAUAAAAGACAAGGUCCUCCUAUGCUUUAUUUACUUAA
This is a non-coding RNA of Equus caballus (horse), 682 nucleotides long. Lineage: Eukaryota; Metazoa; Chordata; Mammalia; Perissodactyla; Equidae. The record is from RefSeq and is a predicted model, not a curated record.